This 440-nucleotide ribosomal RNA is filed under the name uncultured bacterium. RNAcentral describes it as "partial 16S ribosomal RNA". It matches the Rfam family "Bacterial small subunit ribosomal RNA", at positions 338 to 795 of the family's 1533-position model. The record is from RNAcentral.
CCUACGGGAGGCAGCAGUGGGGAAUAUUGCACAAUGGGGGAAACCCUGAUGCAGCGACGCCGCGUGAGUGAAGAAGUAUUUCGGUACGUAAAGCUCUAUCAGCAGGGAAGAAAAUGACGGUACCUGACUAAGAAGCCCCGGCUAACUACGUGCCAGCAGCCGCGGUAAUACGUAGGGGGCAAGCGUUAUCCGGAUUUACUGGGUGUAAAGGGAGCGUAGACGGCAGCGCAAGUUUGGAGUGAAAUCCCAUGGCUUAACCAUGGAACUGCUUUGGAAACUGUGCAGCUAGAGUGCAGGAGAGGUAAGCGGAAUUCCUAGUGUAGCGGUGAAAUGCGUAGAUAUUAGGAGGAACACCAGUGGCGAAGGCGGCUUACUGGACUGUAACUGACGUUGAGGCUCGAAAGCGUGGGGAGCAAACAGGAUUAGAUACCCUAGUAGUC